This is a non-coding RNA of Nomia melanderi (Alkali bee), 1005 nucleotides long. NCBI's taxonomy places the organism in Eukaryota, Metazoa, Arthropoda, Insecta, Hymenoptera, Halictidae. The record is from RefSeq and is a predicted model, not a curated record.
AACCUCGAGCAAAAUGUGUGUAUAAAACAGAAGAAACAACUGUAGGCGACAAUCAAACAGUCUAGUAGUGGACGAAGUGUACAACAUACGAAAUCAUGAAUCAUCAAAUAGUGUACUUUUUGUUCCUAUGCAUGUCCUUUGCUUUAUUAUCAGGAUAUGAGCUGCCGCCAGCAUGCCGUAGUUUAUCUCGUUCUCAACUAUGUUCCAGCAUGAAAUAUAAAGCGAUGUGUAAGCUGACGAAUUGUUAAUAUUUUUAAUCAAGAGGAUUAUUUUACUGACGCCGAGUUUGGUAAAUUUAUUUCCGAUGUAUUAUUCAGCCGCCAUGUAACACAAUGGAAAUGUAAUUCUAUUCAUACAAUUAAUAAAUAAAUAUUGUGCGCUGAGAAUAUGACAACGAGUUAUUUGAUUCACGAUGUAUCAAUAUGUCAAUUAUAAAUAUUGCUAGUGAAGUAGUACAUACAUUGAUAUUACAUUGAAAUUACUUUUAAAUAAUCAACAAAAUUUUAGUACAUGCAUAGAAAGAAACAAAAAAUAUGACAAAAUUGUUAUCUUACGUUAUUCCUUGUAUAAAUACUUCCCCUAAUCUUCAUUGCAUUUUUAAGAAUUCAUAUACUGUUUAUUCGCGCAAUUUCGGCCAGGCUUUUCGUAUAAAAGAGGAAGAACAGCUGUUGGAAUUGUUUACUGGUGAAGAAUUUAAGAGUGUAGAAUAUAAAACCAUGAAUGCGAAAUCAUUCUUCCUUUUUCUAAUUGUUUCCCUUAUUUUAAUGUCGGGAUAUUUUAUUGCACCGGCGGUUGGGCUAGGAAAAGAAUGCCGUACGUUAACUCGACGUAUCCUUUGCCGCAGCACGCAGUUUAGGAGACGAUGCGGGUUGGGAUAUAAGGAAUGCAAUAUAUACUGGGGGAAAUGAGGCCAACGACAUGAUCAGUCAAUGUAUUUCAAAUGUAUGGCCUAUACAUUACACGAUACUGUAACUGAAUUUUAAAAAUAAAUAUUGUUUCUUGGAA